This 449-nucleotide ribosomal RNA is filed under the name uncultured bacterium. RNAcentral describes it as "partial 16S ribosomal RNA". It matches the Rfam family "Bacterial small subunit ribosomal RNA", at positions 354 to 796 of the family's 1533-position model. The record is from RNAcentral.
GUCGAGAAUCUUUCACAAUGGGGGCAACCCUGAUGGGGCGACGCCGCGUGGAGGAUAAGGUCUUCGGAUUGUAAACUCCUGUCAUGCGUGAACAAGGUUGCUUGGUUAAUACCUGGGCAAAUUGAUGGUAACGCAAGAGGAAGAGACGGCUAACUCUGUGCCAGCAGCCGCGGUAAUACAGAGGUCUCAAGCGUUGUUCGGAAUCACUGGGCGUAAAGGGUGCGUAGGUGGCGUGGUAAGUCAGAUGUGAAAGCCCGGGGCUCAACCUCGGAACUGCAUCCGAUACUGCCAUGCUAGAGUACUGGAGAGGUGACUAGAAUUCUCGGUGUAGCAGUGAAAUGCGUAGAUAUCGAGAGGAAUACCAAAGGCGUAGGCAGGUCACUGGACAGUUACUGACACUGAGGCACGAAGGCCAGGGGAGCGAACGGGAUUAGAUACCCUUGUAGUCC